CAGAAGUGAAUUUGCUGCUUUAUGCACUCAGGAAGCUGAUUUCGUGUCGUGAACUCUACAGUUGAAUAUAUUUAGUCCCUCUACACAAGCAGGCACAAACGUCCUUUUGAUUUAUUUAUUUUUGAAUUAGGCCGCAUAAGUAGGCAGCAGUUACAAUCAAUGGUGAUGCAGAUUGAAGUACAGGCAAGAUUGCACCUUUAGUAACAUCAGUAUCAACUAUCAAGUAUGUUUAAUCUCAUUUAUCCGUAAGCUUAAUAUGUUGUAUACUUGUAUGGUGAUGCAGAGUUGAAGUACACUGCAAUCUGCACUGGGAUGUCCGUAAGCUUAAUCUCAUUUAUCCAUUGAAGGAGGUCGUCCUUGUGAUCACUGGAAACAUGUUUGUGAUUGAGGCACACAGCAAAAUGGCUCACACUCACCACCAUUACUCGAAGGACCAUCUCCAUAUACGAGUUGCUUUACCUGAAAGCAGAUUUCUGAAGAUAUAUAUUUUUUUGUAUUUGUUUUAUAUUUUUGGACAACUGGUUGUUUAUAUUGGUGGAGAUCCAGUGCUUUACAGAGCCCGCAUAUAAAGGUAAUGUGUAUUGCUAUUUUUCUUACUUAGUAGCAUUAGAAUCUCCCCAUCUCUUUAUACGGAGGUGAUGGCGAAGGAGGAAGAGUUGUGUCAGGCCCAGCUCAAGCUAGAUGAAGAAGAGGAGGCCAGAAAGAGAGAAUCAGCAAGGCAGAAGCCUUUUGAUCUCAAGGCACGAUUCUGCGGGUUGGUGAGCUACUAACAAAGACACACCUCUAUUCUGAAUUUCUACUUGAAAAAGAUGGACCAUAAGCUACGGAAUAUGUUCGCUGUUGACAUUGGUGGUGGUGUCUUUUGGUUCAACAUGAAGUUGUUUAAGUGAAAAAUGCAGUGGAACAUGUGGAACAAAGGACGUGGUAUGGAAAGGAAAGCAAAGCAAAGCCUAAACAGUACAAUGAUGCAGGUUCAGAUUUCAUAUGUUAUCUUCCCUGCCUCAGGAAUAUGAAAUGGUUGUCUUCUAGAUUAUGAACGUGUCUUUAUUUGUCAUGUAUUGUCGAUGCACUGUGUAGUCUGUACUAAUUCUACUGAGACUGCUUGAUCUCUUAUCAUUCACACUUCGGAAUUUUCUAAUUAUCUUAUUAUUAGUAGUAUCAUCCUUCCAACGUACUGAUUCACAAAUCUUAGCUAAUUAGGAAGGAACUACAUGUUUAUCCAUUCUUUUUCAGAUAUGGUGCUCUUGUAGGCAAAGUAGAUGCAUAAUUCUUUUGGAAGGAAGGGCAGGCACACUAGAUAAUGAUGUAUUAUGUUUCUGGCCCAGAACAGGCAGCCCCCAUCAUCCACAACCUUGAUUCCACAGUAUACCCCGCUGAUAUGAUCUAGAGGAGCGAGGAGCUGGGCAAGGAGUCACUGCCGGUUCACAUGACCGAGAAGGGGUACGCGAUUUUGGGAAGAGAUGCAGGAAGACUGGAAGAAGAUUGACUUCAGUCGCUUCGGCAUCGCCGGCAGCGCCGAUGGGAUCCUGCUUUAUUCCGAAGAACUGAUUUUAUAUGAUUCUGAACCUAGCCGUCCAACAUCAUAUCUGUCCAGCUAUACAAGCUUGUAUGCAGCCAAGUUAGUUGCUUUAUUAUGGACUCAACGAGGAAGAGCACUACCACUUUUUCAGAAUUUGAUUUUGUGAACCUUCAUGUUGCACUAUCACAUAUUGCACAUGAGUUGAUUCA
Long non-coding RNA from Triticum aestivum (bread wheat), 1728 nucleotides. RefSeq lists it as uncharacterized. The transcript is spliced from 2 exons. The record is from RefSeq and is a predicted model, not a curated record. Lineage: Eukaryota; Viridiplantae; Streptophyta; Magnoliopsida; Poales; Poaceae.